UCAACCUGACAAGUGGUGCUACAGACCGACGGAGGUUUUGACUGGAAGCGUCGUCGUCGGGGCUCCGCUGCCUUCCAUUCAGUGCUCGUCUGUCUCCGCCGCUGGGACUCUGAAUCCAGCCGUCCCCCCCCCCCUUCUCCCCUGGGGUCUCCACAUGUAGCAUUCCCCCUUAAAGCUGUGGUUUUCCCACUGAAGACCCCAAAGCAUGCUGGAUGAUGUUGUCGCACACAUCCUUAGGGUAAAUGUCCCCAGGUUGCCAGGUUAGGUGAGCUCCAGGAUCAUGGGCACCACAGUGGUCACCCUUGAGGACGUGCGGGCACUGGAGGUCAAGGAGGAGCAGGAGGAGUCCAUCUUGGCCAUGUUGGGUAUCAUCGGCACGUUCCUCAACCUCUUUGUAAUAGUUUUUGUUUACAUCUACACGACACUGUAAAAGGUCUUAAAGCCGAGACUUUAAAAGGAUUUCUUCAAAGCCUGCUAUCAGAUCUGUCAAACGAGGUCAGGUGGGUUCUUCUGAGAGCGACACGGAGCCCACACCUGACAUGAACAGCUUCCCCAGAGGGAGGAGGAGGAGGACACUGGGCAGACUGAACCAGGAUGAAGGUGAAGAAGAAGCCAUAUUGCAAAGUCACAGCCAUGAGCCUGGGAGAUAACGAAGGGCCGGGGGCAGGAGCGAGGCCGAACGGAACCACAUGGGCUCCGGUCCUAAGACCUGGGACAGGACGUCACCAUGAUUCCUCCACUUGAUCUCAUUUGUCUUUGGACUCAUUGGGGGGAGAGAAGAAAAUGAGCCACAUAAGACAGAAGCUUUUUCCAUUUAUUUGUACUAACUUUUUGUUGUAAUUGCUACUUUGCGUGGACGCGCUUUUAAGCAACAUGAUUAAGAGCAGGGCCUGCGGGAGAACUUUGCAGCUCUGGGGCUAUUCCGGAGGAACUGCUAGAAUGCUCAUUCGUAGUCUUCAGUGGACGAGCCGUGCUGCUGUACCGUCAUCUGCCGAGGCAUAAACUCCCUCCACAUAAUACUAAGCAUUAAUAAUAAAGUACACUUGUGUUUCAGAGCGUACGACUUUAACAUCAUGUUGAAGUUGCAUUUUUAAAGACGCCUUCAAAAUGUGGAUAUUCCAAAAAACGGGGGAUAUUUUUCUAUCCUGCAGUUAAGUACCUAAUCAAAGAGGUCAACUCGCAUAAUUAAACAACGAAGCUAAAUCUGUCUCUAAAACUUUCUCCACUUUCUGUGUCUAUUUGCACAUUUUGAGGUUUCGAAGGGGAGUUUUUUUUUUUUUUUUUUUUAACAUUGCAAGAUUUUCUGGCUUUGUUUAUUCAGUUUAUUUGUUGAUGUUGAUUUCUGGAUAGUGUCAGCGGUUCUUUUCCUGUAUCAAAAACAGCUUUUUAUAAAGUAUUUGAAUAGAUGUACUGUGCGAUAGGGCAUAUUUGAACAAUAAACAUCAGAGCUUAUCAAA
Long non-coding RNA from Sphaeramia orbicularis (orbiculate cardinalfish), 1457 nucleotides. RefSeq lists it as uncharacterized. The transcript is spliced from 2 exons. The record is from RefSeq and is a predicted model, not a curated record. Lineage: Eukaryota; Metazoa; Chordata; Actinopteri; Kurtiformes; Apogonidae.